RNAcentral lists this long non-coding RNA (382 nucleotides) under Nicotiana benthamiana. RNAcentral describes it as "long non-coding RNA (NBEN_LNC003833)". The record is from RNAcentral. Lineage: Eukaryota; Viridiplantae; Streptophyta; Magnoliopsida; Solanales; Solanaceae.
AUCCUUCUUCCCUAAUGAAGUUGUUAACUUCUUCCAUUGUGAAUUGAAUAACUGGUUUACCAUUAUCAAAUUUAACUGGACAGAGCUCUAUUUUUGCCGGAGAAGGCUGUUUAGCUUGAACUGUUGCAGCAUACUGCAUUGGAUUUUCAUUUGGAUUAGCUUUUAUGAGAUUAUGAAUUGCCUCUCCCACAGCCAAAGGCCAGGGAUCAUACGAUUGCAUUGGAUUUUCAUUUGGAUUAGCUUUUAUGAGAUUAUGAAUUGCCUCUCCCACAGCCAAAGGCUGAGAGCAGGACGCAGCCAUGGCUGCCAAGGUCAGAAAACGUCAACAGAAUCCCAGCAAUAGAACAAGGACAUUGUUCUAUACAACCGAGAGAAGGUGAAU